UUCAUAUUGGGUAUGUUUGGUGUUUUUUGAGGAAUUGGUUCAUUUUAUCUAAGUUAUCAAAUUGUGUGUAGAGUUGUUCAUAGUAAUUGCUGUUCUUUUUUGUUUGUUUGUUUCAUCUUUCUAUCCACCGUGGAUCGGUCACGGCCCAGGAGAGCAUGACGUCACCACAUCGAUCAGAAAAAUGAAAGAUGAGAUUGGACUUCUCAGUUUGUGUCCAGAACAAGGAUGGAGAGGCUCAGCAGCACCGACAGGUCAGUAGGUUUUCUCUGUGCCAUAUGAUGGGGUUCUGAGUUUGCUGCAGCCCUGGCCUUGGGCCAGGCACAUUGUGUCUGAUUUUGAGGUUCAAGGGUAUUGUUAUUUCCACUUUAUCAAUAAGGAAACAAGCUCCGAGUGAGCACUGGACAGCAUUACAAGGUUAUAGAACAUAGCAGGGUUGGGGGUGUCAGCUCUGGGGCUUGGAGACACAACUCAUGUCCCUGCUCCUCUCCUCCCUCUCCCU
RNAcentral lists this long non-coding RNA (499 nucleotides) under Aotus nancymaae (Ma's night monkey). RNAcentral describes it as "lncRNA (ENSANAG00000038886.1)". Lineage: Eukaryota; Metazoa; Chordata; Mammalia; Primates; Aotidae. The record is from RNAcentral.